This 301-nucleotide ribosomal RNA is filed under the name uncultured bacterium. RNAcentral's name for it is "partial 16S ribosomal RNA". It matches the Rfam family "Bacterial small subunit ribosomal RNA", at positions 509 to 807 of the family's 1533-position model. The record is from RNAcentral.
CAGCCGCCGCGGUAAUACGUAGGGUGCAAGCGUUAAUCGGAAUUACUGGGCGUAAAGCGUGCGCAGGCGGUUAUAUAAGACAGAUGUGAAAUCCCCGGGCUCAACCUGGGAACUGCAUUUGUGACUGUAUAGCUAGAGUACGGCAGAGGGGGAUGGAAUUCCGCGUGUAGCAGUGAAAUGCGUAGAUAUGCGGAGGAACACCGAUGGCGAAGGCAAACCCCUGGGCCUGUACUGACGCUCAUGCACGAAAGCGUGGGGAGCAAACAGGAUUAGAUACCCGAGUAGUCCCUGUCUCUUAUAC